GUUAUGUAUGACAAGAAGGAAUAUUAGCAACCCCCAGGAUAAGGACAAAUGUAGUCCUAUUGGCUUGUUCAACACAAGGUAAUGGUUUCU
This 90-nucleotide non-coding RNA is filed under the name Dasypus novemcinctus (nine-banded armadillo). The record is from RNAcentral. Lineage: Eukaryota; Metazoa; Chordata; Mammalia; Cingulata; Dasypodidae.